Molecule: long non-coding RNA, 5686 nt
Filed under: Ovis aries (sheep)
Lineage: Eukaryota; Metazoa; Chordata; Mammalia; Artiodactyla; Bovidae
Description: lncRNA (ENSOARG00000026658.1)
Source: RNAcentral
AUGAACCCCCUUCUGAAAGAGACUGUCCCACCCUCCUGCAUUUAUCAAAGAGCAAUUAUAGUUGGAGCCAGUAUCCACGGGGAGAUGGUUCCAGGAGAUGGAACCUGUGGAUGCUUGAGUCCCUUGUAUGAAUGGGGCAGUACAAUGAAUACACGGGCCCUCUGUAUCCCCAGGUUUCACAUCUGCAGGGACAAAGAGCCAUCUGUAAUCUCUCUUCUGUUUUGUACCAACCAAAUCCAUAGAUCAUUCCCUGUAGGCAUCCCUAGUUCACAGUGGCUGAUUAAAUGCAUGGUCCUGGUUGAGCCAAGGGAUGGGUCACAUGCUACCUCCCCAUGGACAACAGUGUCUGUCAGAGGGACCUUGCUCUACACUGGCCAGGCCUUAGAGGCUAGAAUUAUCUCCCCGAACAGGUCAGACUCCCAUCCUGUUCUCUCCUCCUCCCAGCUGAGGGUCUCGGGUACACAGUGGCCUCUAAAGGCAUUAAGUUCCACCUCCCAUAAAUAUGAGCUCCCACCAAAGGGCAGGGUACUCAUCCCACAUUCCAGAUCCCACUCUGACAAGCCUGCCCUACCAGACACCGUGAUCUUUAGCAAACACUGCUCUUCACUAGUGGUCCACUUCCCUGCUGCCCCAGUGAGCGGUCAUCCCAGCCCAGACACUGAGGGGUUGGGCCACACCAUAUUCUCAGAUGACUAGAAUUGGGUUGCUGAACCAGCCCCAGUCUGAGUAGUAGCUUCUCUUUAAGGGAAGCCCACCCAGUGCAGUGAUCCUGGGGGUUCUUGGGAGUGAGCAGCAUGGCCCUGGUUCCCGUGGAAGAGACUGCCAGUCCUUUCCCACUCGUCACAAAAGAAAUCCUCGGAUCUCAGUUCUGGGUCUGGUUCUCUGCCAGGCCUCAAGACAUCAGGAUCAUGUAACCUUGGCCCCUGCCCUAAAGGAGUGCUCAUAACCCAAAGUCAUAAAAAAACAAAGGAUGUUACAGGGGAGUCAGGGUCAGCCUGCUCCUGAGCUGAGUCUCAGGCCAGAGGAAGAAGCAGUGAAGGCACCACAGGCCGAGAUGACGACAUUGGGAAACACUGCCAGGUAUUGUUUACGCGGCAGGAAGAGGUAGGCAGGAGCUGGCGGCAGGAGCCAGGGAGAGGAACCAGAUCUGACCAUGUAAGUUAUAGAUGACUCUUAGAAGAUUUUAACAGAUAGGGGCCAGCAACUGCUCGUGAGAAGAAGGGGCCAUAAGACCCUGGCAUACCAUAGCCUGGUGACCCUUCUUCACUCCCACUCUGGCUGCACUGCGGGAGCUCUGGACUCCCUCUAGAAGAGCUGGAGGCUGAGAUCCAAGCAACUGGCUGAGGGCCUCCCUACUGGGUCCCAGAGCUCAGCUCAGGCCAGGGAGCCUUCUAGGACUAUAGAAGGUGGUUAGCCAAUCAGACCAGAUAGUCUCUGGGGGUGGCCAUGUCCAAACAGCUUAGCAUAUGUGGGUGUAGGGACCUCUAGGGAUGAUGAUAUGAUAUCUGGAUGUGUGAGCGGCUGUAUUGGUCACCACAAGCUCCUGGUGAGUGACUAUAUAUAUCUGGGGAGGGGUGUGUCCACAGCUGUGUUAUUGUGUCGUGGUGGCGGUGAUGGCUGUGGUGCUCCAGGUGUAGGUGGCCAGUAUGUGAGGGUGCCUGCUGCGCAGCCCAGCCUGUGCAUUCUGUUUGGGGACAUAAACUAGUGAAGCAAACUCAGCCCUGAGCAGGUAGCCCUCAGCAAAGCUGACACCCCAAACCUACAGGUGGGAAUUCCUGCUCCCCGGCUCAGGAGAGCACUAGCUGGUCUUGCUCCCUGACAAGACCACUGGCCUGAUGCACUGAUAUUCCAAGGGGGCCUUCAGCUGGAGCAAAGUGAGAGAGUGUGGGGCCCCAGAAUUGGCUGGGGUCCUGUGAACCAAGGCAGGAGCGUGGGGGAAGGUGUCCGGGAGUCCCAAAGUGCAGAGAGGAGAAAGGGAGACGCUGGAGAUGAUCAGGGAGAAACUGAAGCAGGUACAGUCUUCCUAGCACCUCCAGGUGCUUGAAGCAGGACUGUUCAGAGCUGGGGGCACUUCAGCCUUGCCCCACCUUCCACCCUUCCUCACUUGCUACCAUACCAGUUUUGAUAACAGCAGUCACUGGGCCACCUAGUUCUCUCUGGCUGUGGAGCACCCACUCACAUCUCCUUUCACUCACCCUGGAGCUUCUGAGCUCCUGUCAGAUGAGUCUGGAGAGCAUCAGACCCUUGGUUGAAGGGGACGCUGAGGUUCUGGUCAAAAGGAAUGUGUUAAGAAUGCUCAGCUGAAGCCAAGACUGUCUUAUAAGCCUGCCCCCCCGCCCCCCCGCUGCCGCAAGUUUUUGGGAAACUUAGAGAAGGGAGGCAGGAGCCAAGGCACUUCUCACAUUGGGAUCCCAUAUCGGACUGAGAGUAGGGAUGAGGCCAUUGUGAGGGGGGCCUCAGACAGGGCUGGGUCAAGCCUAGUCUCUUCCAAGAGCUGCUUGUUCAGCAGGUGCCAACCUGGAUAGAGGUAAGGAUCUCGGAUUGGUUUCCCAAGAAGAGCCUAACUGCGAGCCUGAGGCAGGAGAGUGGAUGGCAGGACAGAAAGGGGCAAGGGCUGGCCCAUGGUCACAGUAGAUUAUUGGGCUGGCAGGCCAGGGUAGAGCGCUCCCGAUCCAGAACGGCUGGGCAAGUGAGCCACGUCUGGGAGGAGGCGCUGCCCGAAGCGGCCACCCGGGAGGAGGCGCUGCCUGAAGCGUCCACCUUUUCCAGCCAGAACCCAAGCUGUUUCCCCUGUGUUUCUCCUGUCGCUAGCUGACCCCCAGUUUCCGUACCCACAGUGCCAGUAGAGGUGGUGACGAUGUUGUCACCUUUCUUUGUUAUCACACUCCCGAGGUCUUUCUCCAAUCAAGUCCUCUUAAUACUCGGUGGCUAGCACGAGGCCAGUUCUCCGCCGCGUCCCGGCGCGGAGCUGGGCUGGGGCAGAGAGCCGCACUUACCCCUGAACGCAGAGGACCAUGUCCCGGCAGCUGCAGCUGUUGCUCCUGCCUGGAGGACAGGGCGGGGCGACCAGCCUAAUCUUUUGUCCUCUGUGUCCCAGCCCUUCCCGGAAGCGACGUCUUCCUAGAACCGCCGGCUGUGCUGUCUGGCGGCGAGGGGCGCGGGUGGGGGGCGCCGGCUCCCUUAGUCUGGGGCUGAGGGUCGCUAAAGGAAACACCUUUGACAGAUUUCCAAGAACUUUCCAGGAAAAUGGGGCGGGGCCCUGCGCGCCGACCAGUCGCAGUGCAGGAGGUGGGGCCGAGUGGUCAGGGAGGGCCAAUUAGAGCGCUUGGAUUCGAGGCUGACGUGAGCCAAGGGGGUUGGGCAUGACUUAGAGACCAACCGGUGAAAACCAAGUUGAAUAGGGCUAGGGAGAGGCCGGUGCUUUACCUACCUGAGCUCAGAUUUCCUUCGGGGCACUCCGCUUCGUUAGCGACAGGCCCGCUUAUCUCUGGAUAGGACCGGUGGCAGCACGAGGGCGCGGCCACGGGUCUGUCCGCCCAGCUAGUGGCUCCUCCAAGGCGGUGUGCUGGUGUGCAGGCGCCCCCUAUGGGCUGCACUCGGACCCCUGGACCCUGUGUGGGGAGGCGGGUGGCAUGGGUUAUGGUUUGGAGAGAAACAUUAGGGGAAAAAAGGGAUUCAGAGGGAGUAUCCAGAUCCAAGCAGGUUCACGGAGGUCAAGCCUGAGGCCACUGCAGCCAAUAGGAUCCAAGCGAGAAGGUUUCCCCUGGGAGUUGCGGAAGAAGGCACCAUCCCAACCUUUGCACUCUGUGGGGCCAUCCAGUCUCGGCCCUAAGCUGGCCUCUGGCCAGCCCUCCAAUCAGGGAGGAAAUGACUACCAACUUGAGGAGACAGGCAAGGAUAAAGAGCCCCCAGCUCUCCUCACAGGACAGUUUAGAUGUGUCUCUGGCUUGGUGGGCCCCCUAAAAAUAUGGGAGAGAGACCUGGAGCUCCAAACCCCCAGCGAUAAACUGAAGCUAGGGGAUAAAAGUAGAGCGGAGGAACAGUGACAGCCUCUCCCAUCUACACGGAGCACCUGGUACGUGCGAUCCUCAAUAGCUGGUAUUUCUCCCAUUAUUGCUGAGCCCCAGGGAACAUCCCCUACCAUUGAUCCUUUCCACCUUUUCCCAUUCACUGGACUCACCGAGAAGCAUCCUUAAAGGGGCUGCUCACAUAUCCUCGAAGCCCGUGGGCCAGGAGAUGAGAGAAUUGGAGCAGUGGUAGGGUCCAUCCCACCUUCCCAGUGUGUACCCCCCAAGUUCCCAGAAAAGAAGGUAAACUUCAGGUCCCCUAGCAGGGAUGACAGGCUCCUGGCAGUGUCCAGAGGCAUAAAUGGUAGUAUCCAGGCUUUCCCCAGGGCAUACAGGGCUGAGUUUGUCCUGCCUGGGAGGGGAUGGAAGACUGAGGGAUCCAAAAGCAAAAGGCCACGAUGCAGGACAACAUUACAAAAAUAAUUGGUUCAUGUGAGAAAUGACUUGAUGAAACUCACUUCUCAUGAAACCCAAGUUCCUGAAGGGAAUUUGAACUUCAGUGUAGCCCCACUUCAGUUCAGUUCAGUCACUUAGUUGUGUCUGAUUCUUUGCCAACCCAUGGACUGCAGCACGCCAGGCUUCCCUGUCUAUCACCAACUCCCGGAAUUUGCUCAAACUCAUGUCCAUCAAGUCGGUGAUGCCAUCCAAUCAUCUCAUCCUCUGUCGUCCUCUUCUCUUGCCUUCAAUCUUGCCCAGCAUCAGGGUUUUUUUUAAAUGAGUCAGUUCUUUGCAUCAGGUGGCCAAAGUAUUGGAGUUUCAGCUUCAGCAUCAGUCCUUCCAAUGAAUAUUCAUGACUGAUUUCCUUUAGGAUGGACUGGUUGGAUCUCCUUGCUGUCCAAAGGACUCUCAAGAGUCUUCUCCAACACCAUAGUUCAAACAUCAACUCUUCGGUGCUCAGCUUUUUUUAUGGUCCAACUCUCACAUCCAUCAACCCACUCCAGUAUUCUUGCCUGGAGAAUCCCAUGGACGGAGAAGNNNNNNNNNNNNNNNNNNNNNNNNNNNNNNNNNNNNNNNNNNNNNNNNNNNNNNNNNNNNNNNNNNNNNNNNNNNNNNNNNNNNNNNNNNNNNNNNNNNNACAACUAAUAAACUGAUAAUUUUCUAUAUAAUUUCAUGGCUGCAGUCACCAUCUGCCGUGAUUUUGGAGCUCCCCAACAAUAGUGUCUGUCAGUUUCCCUAUCUAUUUGCCAUGAAGUGAUGGGACCAGAUGCCAUGAUCUUAGUUUUCUGAAUGUUGAACUUUAAGCCAACUUUUUAACUCUCCUCUUUCACUUUCAUCAGGAGGCUCUUUAGUUCUUGUGGUGUCAUCUGCAUAUCUGAGGUUAGUGACAUUUCUCCCGGCAAUCUUGAUUUCAGCUUGUGCUUCAUCCAGUCCAGCAUUUCUCAUGACGUACUAUGCAUACAAGUUUAAUAAGCAGGGUGAAAAUAUAUAGACUUGAUGUACUCCUUUCCUGAUUUGGAACCAGUGUGUUGUUCCAUGUCUAGUUCUAACUGUUGCUUCUUGACUUGCAUACAGAUUUCUCAAGAGGCAGGUCAGGUGGUCUGGUAUUCCCAUCUCUUGAACAAUUUUCCACAGUUUGUGGUGAUCCACAUAGUCAAAAGCUUUGGCAUAGUCAAUAAAGC